This is a long non-coding RNA of Gallus gallus (chicken), 1005 nucleotides long. RefSeq lists it as uncharacterized. The transcript is spliced from 3 exons. Lineage: Eukaryota; Metazoa; Chordata; Aves; Galliformes; Phasianidae. The record is from RefSeq and is a predicted model, not a curated record.
AGCCUUUCUGUUCCAGCAGUUGUUUGCCCUGACGUGUCCGCAGAGGCAAGGGCAGAUUGCAGGUACCUUUCCACAGAGCUCAGCACAGAUUACACAAACAGCACAGCAAUUCACCCGGUCCUUCUUGCCCAGCUGAGGACAAGGAGGUUAUCAGUCUGGAAUAUAUGAUCCGGCCUUUCUCAAGCAGGCUAUUAGCAAGAAACACUAUGGGAAACCUGUUUAUUAUGUUUCCAUUCCACUGUUGCUGCCAUUGAACUCCACCCAUCCCUGAUACAUGUUUAUACAGGUGAACUGCCAAAGAAACCCUUCCUCUGCACCUGAGCCCCACGUUUUAAUUCUUCAUUUACUCAGGUUCAUAAAAACUGAUAAAAUGCCAAAAAGAAUUUCCUCAGAGGUCUGACUGCCUGCACCCGCUGCCAGACAAGCUUAAAGAACCAGACGGGGCUGCAAGGAAAUGGCCCAGCAGAAAGGAAUCCAGGAGGCAUCCACAAGGUCUUAAGCCUCUCAAAUCCUUCGUCUCAGCUCAAGGUUGAUCUGAACAAGGAUCAUAAAAUAUCCAACUUUUGUGUCUGUCCAGAACUGUAUGUGACACAGGCCUACACAAGUGAGGGAGGUCCAUGCAGUUUGAACUCUACAAGACUAUAAGGAAGAAAUGUGGGUUUUUUUUUCCUAUUUAUAUCAUUUCAUGGUUCUGCUCAUAGAUUGCUCCAUAAUAUUAGGUCUAGUUCUAAUAUUUCUAACUUUUAAACAACUCGAACAGCUACUAUUUUAAAAUAAAAAAAUCUACCAAAAAUGGUUUCUUCAUUCUCCUUCUGCCCAAAAACAUCAGUUUUCUCCUAUUUCAAAAACUGUUGUGCUUUAAACUCUAACAGGGUAAGCAGGAAGAAAACUAUGUUAUUAUAACUUACAGGCUAUUAGAGCAUGCAGCAGUGACAAAAAAAGGUUACAGAAUGGAUUCCCAAUGUUCUAGUAAGUCACAACAACUAGAAAUAGGCAUUUGUUUUG